AUUGAACGCUAGCGGCAUGCCUAACACAUGCAAGUCGAGCGGCAGCGCGUCCGACCACCCUCGGGUGGUCGGAUGGCGGCGAGCGGCGGACGGGUGAGGAAUGCAUCGGAAUCUGCCUCGUUGUGGGGGGAUAACGUAGGGAAACUUACGCUAAUACCGCAUACGACCUACGGGUGAAAGUGGGGGACCUUCGGGCCUCACGCGAUGAGAUGAGCCGAUGCCGGAUUAGCUAGUUGGCGGGGUAAAGGCCCACCAAGGCGACGAUCCGUAGCUGGUCUGAGAGGAUGAUCAGCCACACUGGAACUGAGACACGGUCCAGACUCCUACGGGAGGCAGCAGUGGGGAAUAUUGGACAAUGGGGGGCAACCCUGAUCCAGCCAUGCCGCGUGUGUGAAGAAGGCC
Molecule: ribosomal RNA, 402 nt
Filed under: uncultured bacterium
Lineage: Bacteria
Description: bacterial SSU rRNA
Rfam family: Bacterial small subunit ribosomal RNA
Source: RNAcentral